Molecule: long non-coding RNA, 347 nt
Filed under: Phoenix dactylifera (date palm)
Lineage: Eukaryota; Viridiplantae; Streptophyta; Magnoliopsida; Arecales; Arecaceae
Description: long non-coding RNA (PDAC_LNC008644)
Source: RNAcentral
AUUAUAGUGAAAUUUUCAAGAGGUCUUGGGGAGUGGAUGUAGGUGCUGGGGUGCACCGAACCACUAUAUGUUUGUUGUGUUUGUGAUGCUUUUUGUCAUUGUCUAUCUUGCUCACUUACUUAUCUAGAUAAAUUGCAUGCUUAACUCUUAUCCGCGCAUCCUUUAGUUGCAAGCAUAUUAAAUUUACUUAAUCAAGUCUCAUUCGAUAAAUCAACCUAUUGCUAAGUUUAAAUUUCACUGUGCAACUAUACAACUUAGCAUAAUUAAUUGAAAAGUGUUAGAAGUAGCUUAAAAGUUUUAUAAGACCCAAUUCACCCCCCCUCUUGGGUUGUAUCUACUGGGCAACA